ACCUACGGGGCGCAGCAGUGGGGAAUAUUGCACAAUGGGGGAAACCCUGAUGCAGCGACGCCGCGUGAGUGAAGAAGUAUUUCGGUAUGUAAAGCUCUAUCAGCAGGGAAGAAAAUGACGGUACCUGACUAAGAAGCCCCGGCUAACUACGUGCCAGCAGCCGCGGUAAUACGUAGGGGGCAAGCGUUAUCCGGAUUUACUGGGUGUAAAGGGAGCGUAGACGGCAGCGCAAGUCUGAAGUGAAAUCCCAUGGCUUAACCAUGGAACUGCUUUUGAAACUGAAUGGCUAGAUUGCAGAAGAGGCA
This 305-nucleotide ribosomal RNA is filed under the name uncultured bacterium. RNAcentral describes it as "bacterial SSU rRNA". It matches the Rfam family "Bacterial small subunit ribosomal RNA", at positions 337 to 659 of the family's 1533-position model. The record is from RNAcentral.